CUGAGUCACAAUGUAGAAUGUGCCAAAGAAUUGUCCCACUGAAGGGACAUGAACAUGCGAUAUUUAUCCGGGGACUCCUGUUCUUCACUCUUAACUGCCUCGCAAUUUGUACCCGUCCAAUGUCCAGGCUGAACAUACUCCUAGAAGAGGCUCCUGCAUCACAGAGCUGAUUUUCCUAGCAGAGGGACCCAGACUAAGAAGGUGUUCGCAGGCUCACCUUCUAAACCUAGAACGAGGACAGUUAUCCCUUCUCUUGUUGCAUCUCUGAAGUUCUUCAGUUACUCAAUUUGUGGACUUAGAAUAGCACAUCGUCCAGCCACAUUUAUUCUAAACAGAUGGUCUGGACCCAGAGAGAUGGCAGCCAAUGAUCUUAACCACUGUGCUCACAGCUUAUCUUUUCAUGGAAAGGUGAAGAGAUGUCAAGUGCAACCAUCCCACCAAGUACGCGCACACACGGCCCAUUUGUUUAAUCAAACUGGAAAUUACAGGAUAAUGUAUUAUGUUCACUUAUUUUAAGUCACAAUUGAUAUUGAAAAUAAAUACUGAAAUGGCAAGUUAUAUAAAUGGCAAAGUGCUUUUAUUGUGGGUAUUGGCUCCAGUUUGGUGAGUGGUGAGAGAUUAACAUAGAGUUCACU
RNAcentral lists this long non-coding RNA (635 nucleotides) under Equus caballus (horse). RNAcentral describes it as "lncRNA (ENSECAG00000035208.3)". The record is from RNAcentral. Lineage: Eukaryota; Metazoa; Chordata; Mammalia; Perissodactyla; Equidae.